This 164-nucleotide small nucleolar RNA is filed under the name Aspergillus fumigatus Af293. RNAcentral's name for it is "Aspergillus fumigatus snoRNA Afu1g03405". The record is from RNAcentral. Lineage: Eukaryota; Fungi; Ascomycota; Eurotiomycetes; Eurotiales; Aspergillaceae.
AUCAACAACCGCCGAUAACAUAUAUCAACAGCUUCUGUCUCUUGUCAUGAUGAAGCUGUUUUCGCGUCGCGCGAAGACUGACCCUACCCGACGCUGGGCACCUAGCUUUGAAAGGUCGUUCCGAUCCUUUGCGAUAAUCUGGGAAUCAGCUGUGGUUACAAUUG